This 462-nucleotide ribosomal RNA is filed under the name uncultured bacterium. RNAcentral describes it as "partial 16S ribosomal RNA". It matches the Rfam family "Bacterial small subunit ribosomal RNA", at positions 28 to 507 of the family's 1533-position model. The record is from RNAcentral.
GAUGAACGCUGACAGAAUGCUUAACACAUGCAAGUCUUUGGCGAAGCUGUGCUCGCACAGCCUAGCCAAGGCGGACGGGUGAGUAACGCGUAAGGAACUUGCCCUGCAGUCAGGGAUAACAGACGGAAACGACUGAUAAGACCUGGUAAAGUCAGGCGGACUCAUGUCCAGCCUGAUGAAAAGAGAUGCUGCAGGAGAGCCUUGCGUCCUAUUAGCUUGUUGGUGGGGUAACGGCCACCAAGGCGAUGAUAGGUAGCCGGCCUGAGAGGGUGGACGGCCACAAGGGGACUGAGAUACGGCCCUUACUCCUACGGGAGGCAGCAGUGGGGAAUAUUGGACAAUGGGGGCAACCCUGAUCCAGCAAUUCUGUGUGCACGAUGAAGGUUUUCGGAUUGUAAAGUGCUUUCAGCAGGGAAGAAAAAAAUGACGGUACCUGCAGAAGAAGCGACGGCUAAAUACGUG